AGUCAAGUAAUUAAGUGCAUGUGGUGGAUGCCUUGGCAGUCAGAGGCGAUGAAAGACGUGAUAGCCUGCGAAAAGCUCCGGGGAGGCGGCAAAUAUCCUUUGAUCCGGAGAUGUCUGAAUGGGGGAACCCACCUACUUUAAGGUAGGUAUUGCAACAUGAAUACAUAGUGUUGCAAGGCGAACGAGGGGAAGUGAAACAUCUCAGUACCCUUAGGAAAAGAAAUCAAUUGAGAUUCCCUCAGUAGCGGCGAGCGAACGGGGAUCAGCCCAUUAAGUUAUGUGUGUUUUAGUGGAACGCUCUGGGAAGUGCGAACGUAGAGGGUGAUAUUCCCGUACACGAAAGGGCACACAUAAUGAUGACGAGUAGGGCGAGGCACGUGAAACCUUGUCUGAAUAUGGGGGGACCAUCCUCCAAGGCUAAAUACUCCUGACUGACCGAUAGUGAACCAGUACCGUGAGGGAAAGGCGAAAAGAACCCCUGUGAGGGGAGUGAAAUAGAUCCUGAAACCGCAUGCAUACAAGCAGUGGGAGCACCUUCGUGGUGUGACUGCGUACCUUUUGUAUAAUGGGUCAGCGACUUAUAUUCAGUAGCAAGGUUAACCGUAUAGGGGAGCCGUAGAGAAAUCGAGUCUUAAUAGGGCGUUUAGUUGCUGGGUAUAGACCCGAAACCAGGCGAUCUAUCCAUGAGCAGGUUGAAGGUUGGGUAACACUAACUGGAGGACCGAACCCACUGUCGUUGAAAAGCCAGGGGAUGACUUGUGGAUAGGGGUGAAAGGCUAAUCAAGCCUGGUGAUAGCUGGUUCUCCCCGAAAGCUAUUUAGGUAGCGCCUCGGACGAAUACCAUAGGGGGUAGAGCACUGUUUCGGCUAGGGGGUCAUCCCGACUUACCAAACCGAUGCAAACUCCGAAUACCUAUGAGUACUAUCCGGGAGACAGACUGCGGGUGCUAACGUCCGUAGUCAAGAGGAAAACAAUCCAGACCGCCAGCUAAGGCCCCAAAAUCAUAGUUAAGUGGGAAACGAUGUGGGAAGGCAUAGACAGCUAGGAGGUUGGCUUAGAAGCAGCCACCCUUUAAAGAAAGCGUAAUAGCUCACUAGUCGAGUCGGCCUGCGCGGAAGAUGUAACGGGGCUAAAACUAUGUGCCGAAGCUGCGGAUGUAUACUUUGUAUACGUGGUAGGGGAGCGUUCUGUAAGCCGAUGAAGGUGUGUUGAGAAGCAUGCUGGAGGUAUCAGAAGUGCGAAUGCUGACGUGAGUAACGACAAAACGGGUGAAAAACCCGUUCGCCGAAAGACCAAGGGUUCCAGUCCAACGUUAAUCGGGGCUGGGUGAGUCGACCCCUAAGGCGAGGCCGAAAGGCGUAGUCGAUGGGAAAAUGGUUAAUAUUCCAUUACUUCUGUGUAAUGCGAUGAGAGGACGGAGAAGGCUAAAUCAGCCUGGCGUUGGUUGUCCAGGUGAAAGGAUGUAGGCAUGUAUCUUAGGCAAAUCCGGGGUACUCUAUGCUGAGAUCUGAUAGCAAGCUGUACUUGUACAGCGAAGUGGUUGAUGCCAUGCUUCCAGGAAAAGUCUCUAAGCUUCAGUUACACAGGAAUCGUACCCGAAACCGACACAGGUGGUCAGGUCGAGUAGACCAAGGCGCUUGAGAGAACUCUGCUGAAGGAACUAGGCAAAAUGGUACCGUAACUUCGGGAGAAGGUACGCUGUUGUUGGUGAUGGAACUCGCUUCCUGAGCUGACGACAGCCGCAGAAACCAGGCCGCUGCAACUGUUUAUUAAAAACAUAGCACUCUGCAAACACGAAAGUGGACGUAUAGGGUGUGAUGCCUGCCCGGUGCUGGAAGGUUAAUUGAUGGGGUUAGCGUAAGCGAAGCUCUUGAUCGAAGCCCCAGUAAACGGCGGCCGUAACUAUAACGGUCCUAAGGUAGCGAAAUUCCUUGUCGGGUAAGUUCCGACCUGCACGAAUGGCAUAAUGAUGGCGGCGCUGUCUCCAGCAGAGGCUCAGUGAAAUCGAAAUCGCUGUGAAGAUGCAGUGUACCCGCGGCUAGACGGAAAGACCCCGUGAACCUUUACUGCAGCUUGACACUGAACUUUGACCUUACUUGUGUAGGAUAGGUGGGAGGCUUUGAAGCUGGAACGCUAGUUCCAGUGGAGCCGUCCUUGAAAUACCACCCUGGUAAUGUUGAGGUUCUAACUCUGUCCCGUGAUCCGGGACGAGGACCGUGUCUGGUGGGUAGUUUGACUGGGGCGGUCUCCUCCUAAAGAGUAACGGAGGAGUACGAAGGUGCGCUCAGCGUGGUCGGAAAUCACGCGUAGAGUAUAAAGGCAAAAGCGCGCUUAACUGCGAGACCCACAAGUCGAGCAGGUACGAAAGUAGGUCUUAGUGAUCCGGUGGUUCUGUAUGGAAGGGCCAUCGCUCAACGGAUAAAAGGUACUCUGGGGAUAACAGGCUGAUACCGCCCAAGAGUUCAUAUCGACGGCGGUGUUUGGCACCUCGAUGUCGGCUCAUCUCAUCCUGGGGCUGAAGCAGGUCCCAAGGGUAUGGCUGUUCGCCAUUUAAAGAGGUACGCGAGCUGGGUUUAGAACGUCGUGAGACAGUUCGGUCCCUAUCUACCGUGGGCGCUGGAAAUUUGAGAGGAUCUGCUCCUAGUACGAGAGGACCAGAGUGGACGAACCUCUGGUGUACCGGUUGUGACGCCAGUCGCAUCGCCGGGUAGCUAUGUUCGGAAGGGAUAACCGCUGAAAGCAUCUAAGCGGGAAGCCUACCUCAAGAUAAGAUUUCCCUAGGACUUUAUGUCCUCUAAAGAGCCGUUCGAGACUAGGACGUUGAUAGGUUGGAUGUGGAAGCAUAGUGAUAUGUGAAGCUGACCAAUACUAAUUGCUCGUGAGGCUUGACUAUACAACACCCA
This 2903-nucleotide ribosomal RNA is filed under the name Acinetobacter baumannii ABNIH14. Its description in RNAcentral is "bacterial LSU rRNA". It matches the Rfam family "Bacterial large subunit ribosomal RNA". The record is from RNAcentral. RNAcentral also lists the same sequence under 1 other name. Lineage: Bacteria; Pseudomonadati; Pseudomonadota; Gammaproteobacteria; Moraxellales; Moraxellaceae.